This 451-nucleotide ribosomal RNA is filed under the name uncultured bacterium. RNAcentral's name for it is "partial 16S ribosomal RNA". It matches the Rfam family "Bacterial small subunit ribosomal RNA", at positions 354 to 796 of the family's 1533-position model. The record is from RNAcentral.
GUGGGGAAUAUUGGACAAUGGGGGGAACCCUGAUCCAGCCAUGCCGCGUGUGUGAAGAAGGCCUUUUGGUUGUAAAGCACUUUAAGCGAGGAGGAGGCUACCGAGAUUAAUACUCUUGGAUAGUGGACGUUACUCGCAGAAUAAGCACCGGCUAACUCUGUGCCAGCAGCCGCGGUAAUACAGAGGGUGCAAGCGUUAAUCGGAUUUACUGGGCGUAAAGCGCGCGUAGGUGGCCAAUUAAGUCAAAUGUGAAAUCCCCGAGCUUAACUUGGGAAUUGCAUUCGAUACUGGUUGGCUAGAGUAUGGGAGAGGGUGGUAGAAUUCCAGGUGUAGCGGUGAAAUGCGUAGAGAUCUGGAGGAAUACCGAUGGCGAAGGCAGCCAUCUGGCCUAAUACUGACACUGAGGUGCGAAAGCAUGGGGAGCAAACAGGAUUAGAUACCCGAGUAGUCC